RNAcentral lists this signal recognition particle RNA (300 nucleotides) under Propithecus coquereli (Coquerel's sifaka). RNAcentral describes it as "Metazoan signal recognition particle RNA (ENSPCOG00000011143.1)". It matches the Rfam family "Metazoan signal recognition particle RNA". From Rfam's summary of the family: The signal recognition particle (SRP) is a universally conserved ribonucleoprotein. It is involved in the co-translational targeting of proteins to membranes. The record is from Rfam by way of RNAcentral. Lineage: Eukaryota; Metazoa; Chordata; Mammalia; Primates; Indriidae.
ACCCGACUCAGUGGCGCACGCCUGUGGUCCCAGCUACUAGGGAGGCUGAGGCUGGAGGAUUGCUGGAGCCCAGGAGUUCUGGGCUACAGUGCGCUAUGCCGAUCGGGUGUCCGCACUAAGUUCAGUAUCAAUAUGGUGACCUUCCGGGAACGGGGGACCACCAGGUUGCCUAAGGAGGGGUGAACUGGCCCAGGUAGGAAACGGAGCAGGUCAAAACUCCCGUGCGGAUCAGUAGUGGGAUCUCGCCUGUGAAAAGCCACUGCACUCCAGCCUGGGCAACACAGUGAGACCCCAUCUCAU